RNAcentral lists this transfer RNA (72 nucleotides) under Heyndrickxia coagulans 2-6. RNAcentral's name for it is "tRNA-Glu (TTC) (tRNA-Glu-TTC-3-1)". It matches the Rfam family "tRNA". From Rfam's summary of the family: Transfer RNA (tRNA) molecules are approximately 80 nucleotides in length. Their secondary structure includes four short double-helical elements and three loops (D, anti-codon, and T loops). Further hydrogen bonds mediate the characteristic L-shaped molecular structure. tRNAs have two regions of fundamental functional importance: the anti-codon, which is responsible for specific mRNA codon recognition, and the 3' end, to which the tRNAs corresponding amino acid is attached (by aminoacyl-tRNA synthetases). tRNAs cope with the degeneracy of the genetic code in two manners: having more than one tRNA (with a specific anti-codon) for a particular amino acid; and 'wobble' base-pairing, i.e. permitting non-standard base-pairing at the 3rd anti-codon position. Lineage: Bacteria; Bacillati; Bacillota; Bacilli; Caryophanales; Bacillaceae. The record is from RNAcentral.
GGCCCGUAGGUCAAGCGGUUAAGACACCGCCCUUUCACGGCGGUAACACGGGUUCGAAUCCCGUACGGGUCA